RNAcentral lists this ribosomal RNA (529 nucleotides) under Bifidobacterium bifidum. RNAcentral describes it as "bacterial SSU rRNA". It matches the Rfam family "Bacterial small subunit ribosomal RNA", at positions 162 to 703 of the family's 1533-position model. The record is from RNAcentral. Lineage: Bacteria; Bacillati; Actinomycetota; Actinomycetes; Bifidobacteriales; Bifidobacteriaceae.
GGUAAUGCCGGAUGUUCCACAUGAUCGCAUGUGAUUGUGGGAAAGAUUCUAUCGGCGUGGGAUGGGGUCGCGUCCUAUCAGCUUGUUGGUGAGGUAACGGCUCACCAAGGCUUCGACGGGUAGCCGGCCUGAGAGGGCGACCGGCCACAUUGGGACUGAGAUACGGCCCAGACUCCUACGGGAGGCAGCAGUGGGGAAUAUUGCACAAUGGGCGCAAGCCUGAUGCAGCGACGCCGCGUGAGGGAUGGAGGCCUUCGGGUUGUAAACCUCUUUUGUUUGGGAGCAAGCCUUCGGGUGAGUGUACCUUUCGAAUAAGCGCCGGCUAACUACGUGCCAGCAGCCGCGGUAAUACGUAGGGCGCAAGCGUUAUCCGGAUUUAUUGGGCGUAAAGGGCUCGUAGGCGGCUCGUCGCGUCCGGUGUGAAAGUCCAUCGCUUAACGGUGGAUCUGCGCCGGGUACGGGCGGGCUGGAGUGCGGUAGGGGAGACUGGAAUUCCCGGUGUAACGGUGGAAUGUGUAGAUAUCGGAAA